AUUGAACGCUGGCGGCAGGCCUAACACAUGCAAGUCGAGCGGAUGAAGGGAGCUUGCUCCUGGAUUCAGCGGCGGACGGGUGAGUAAUGCCUAGGAAUCUGCCUGGUAGUGGGGGAUAACGUCCGGAAACGGGCGCUAAUACCGCAUACGUCCUGAGGGAGAAAGUGGGGGAUCUUCGGACCUCACGCUAUCAGAUGAGCCUAGGUCGGAUUAGCUAGUUGGUGGGGUAAAGGCCUACCAAGGCGACGAUCCGUAACUGGUCUGAGAGGAUGAUCAGUCACACUGGAACUGGGACACGGUCCAGACUCCUAAGGGAGGCAGCAGUGGGGAAUAUUGGACAAUGGGCGAAAGCCUGAUCCAGCCAUGCCGCGUGUGUGAAGAAGGUCUUCGGAUUGUAAAGCACUUUAAGUUGGGAGGAAGGGCAGUAAGUUAAUACCUUGCUGUUUUGACGUUACCAACAGAAUAAGCACCGGCUAACUUCGUG
This 484-nucleotide ribosomal RNA is filed under the name uncultured bacterium. RNAcentral's name for it is "partial 16S ribosomal RNA". It matches the Rfam family "Bacterial small subunit ribosomal RNA", at positions 30 to 507 of the family's 1533-position model. The record is from RNAcentral.